CUAAAGUAGAAUUAGUGAUGCGGU
Molecule: non-coding RNA, 24 nt
Filed under: Arabidopsis thaliana (thale cress)
Lineage: Eukaryota; Viridiplantae; Streptophyta; Magnoliopsida; Brassicales; Brassicaceae
Source: RNAcentral